UACGGGAGGCAGCAGUGGGGAAUCUUCCGCAAUGGGCGCAAGCCUGACCCAGCAACGCCGCGUGAAGGAAGAAGGUCUUCGGAUUGUAAACUUCUUUUAUGAGGGACGAAGGACGUGACGGUACCUCAUGAAUAAGCCACGGCUAACUACGUGCCAGCAGCCGCGGUAAU
This 170-nucleotide ribosomal RNA is filed under the name uncultured rumen bacterium. Its description in RNAcentral is "partial 16S ribosomal RNA". It matches the Rfam family "Bacterial small subunit ribosomal RNA", at positions 340 to 524 of the family's 1533-position model. The record is from RNAcentral.